CUUUAUAUUCCAGGAAGUGCUGCUGGCCUGCCUCUUAGAGGUGCAAGCCACCACACCUAGCUGGAUCACAGACAUUCUUCCAGACGUGGUAUUCCCAGUGGGUUGAAAUUUAGGCAGCAGAAAUUUUACAGGAGAAAAUUCCUCUCAGCAGAACAAGAAAAUAUACCAAAGUUGUUUUGGUCCAGCAUCUGCAAAGAAUGAAAACUUAAUUCAUGGAAUGAAUGCAAAGCUUGUUUGAUCCACAAUGGAAAUGAUGAGUAAAGUUACAGACAAUGUUAAGACUAAAGUAGGUGGUUACCUCUAGUUUAGAUGUCUCUGAUCAGCCAGUUUGACACACCACCAAUGAUAAAUAUGCUGUAAGGGAUUGCAUAUAUACCAGUUAUAACCAUUAAUUUGCUAGCAAAACCUAAUAGGGGUUGGAUCCACUGUAGAUAAUAUUAUAUUAAAAAUGAGAGAGAGAAAAAUGUCAACCAGAACAUCCAGAUAAUAUUUUAUAAAAGUCGGAUCUUAUAACCCAGGGGAAAAACAAUACAGGUGUGGGAUACAUUAUCCACAAAACCCAUUAUCCAGAAAGCUCUGAAUUUCAGGAAGGCUAUUUCCCAUACCCUUUAUUUUAAUUAAAUAACUUAAAAUUUAAAAAAUGGUUUCCUUUUUGUCUGUAAUGAUUAAAUAGUACCUUGUAUUUAAACCCAUCAAAGAUAUAAUUAUUCCUUAUAGGAGGCAAAACAAUUCUAGUGGUUUAAUAAAUGUUUAAAUAAUUUUAUGUAGACUUAAACUAUGGUGAUCCAAAUUAAGGAAAGAUCCAAAAAACCCCAGGUCCUGAGUAUUCUGGAUAACAGGUACCAUAUCAGGUUUAAUACCAUUUUUUCUGUCCUCAAAAAAGAGGAUAAACCAGCUUUAUCUGGGAGGAAUGCUUUCCAACUUCAUGUCUGCUUGGUCUCAAACAUCAUACAUUCUUUUGUGUAAUUGGCUUGAUGAAAAGCGGUAGGCAUGUUAUUGUGAGUGAAGGUGAAUUAAGUUCUUAUACCAGGCCAGUGGUCGAGGCAGGCAGAUAACAAGUCUGUGAAGCAGGCAGGUGGCAAACAGUAGCAAAUCCAUGUAGUAGGCAAAGGGUCUGGGUAGGCAGUGAGCAAGAGCAAGUCGGAAUAGCAGGCAAGGGUCAAACAAGAAAAUUAGAUGAAGAUCAAAGGCAAGGCAGGAACUUAGUAACUCAGGAAGGGGUUAGAUCACAGAAUUAGACUCAAUGAUCAAACAGUAAGGGGUAGGAAGAGGCUGGCUUAAAUAAGCCCUUGAUGUCAGGAUUGGUGACACCUGGCUUUAACAACCAUAGAGGUGGAGGUGAUGCAGACAGAGGGGGUAGCCUGUGUUUAUCAGGAUUAUCAUCAGUGGCAAACUCCAAAAGCCUCCACUAGCUAGCAACCAAGUCCAGAACCAAGACCAGAGUUCAAUUUUAGAAAAACCUUAUUAAUUUACUGUGGGCCAUUGGAUGAAAUCUUGAAUUUAUGAUUCAAACCGCAUUAAUGCAGUGACAGCAUCUACCUCAGUCAAAGCCCUCACAUCUAGGGCUGUAGCAGUGUCUUGGUCUUUCAAUGCUGAUAAGUCAUUUCAAAAGAAGUACACAUCUUUAAAUACUUCCUAACAUUUUAUAAGAUGACCAAUGGGCUAAUAUUGAGUGCUUCAGACAGCAGUUAGGUCUAGGUUUUUUCUACACCAGUCAGUUUUGUUGUUGCCACUGAGCACUUCUUCACUGCCAUUCAUUGCAUAAAGGAAUAGCUAAGUGGGAUGGGCAGUUAGAAAGUCAUUUUCUGUGCUGCAAAACAUGAGGGGUUCAGUCAUGCCAUUGGUGCCAAUGUUCUGUUGUAAGAAAAAAAAGGUCUCAGUCAGUAAUUUAGGAUUUUCUCUUAUUCGUUAUCAAACAUGGUUCUUUAGAGCAAUUGUGGGAGGAAGAGUAGGAAGUUAAUAACCAUUUUAAUUGACAUGUUAAGGAACCGCCCCAGUGUAAAAGUGCCUUCUACCAUUAUAUGUUAAUAUGGAUCAUAUCUACUGUGUCACUGACGAGCAUAUACUAUUAAUACUGAGCUGAAAUAGCAGGUUCUUAUUAACUUGUCUGAUCACUUUAAGUUGCUAUCAAUUUGCCUCUCGUAGACAAAGCAGAUAUUUGCCUGACAUGGAUUAACUCUGGGGGUCAUUUACGUAACAACAGUUUGCAAAGUGCAAAAAAAGUUUGCAAUUCACAAUGAUACUGUUCCUAGCACAUUGCAUUCUUGUCCUCUACCAUCCCCUAAUUUGUACAUCAUUCAAACAGGCAAUUUAGGAAUCG
Molecule: long non-coding RNA, 2320 nt
Organism: Xenopus tropicalis (tropical clawed frog)
Lineage: Eukaryota; Metazoa; Chordata; Amphibia; Anura; Pipidae
Exons: 2
Source: RefSeq, a predicted model, not a curated record